CGUAGAGUAGAGGUGAGACCAAGAUGAAGUUUGCAUGGAUUUCCAACACCCUUCCAUUAGCUAACUCAUAGCACAGUUCUACUUGGAUAAAACAGCCACCACACUUCCAGAGGCUGUAGCAAUCAGCUGCCUAAGUGCAAUUAUUCCCCUCAAGAGCCUCUCCUAAUGUUACUUAAGCCCUCAACCAAUCAGGCUUCAUGCACUUAUCUUACAGUUUUCCCUAUGGGCUCCCUCCCACAUUGUGACAUAUUUUUAACAUUCAUAUAAAUCUCCUCCCUUCAUCCUCUCCCCACAAAUACCAGCCAGUUGCAGGCCUCUCUUGGAGUUUCUUCUAACAAUGAUGUGAGAAACUUCAUGAAUCCUCAGCCUAUAAAUAGGAGUCACAGAAGAGAAUGAGAUGUCCAGAAAGCACACAAAAAGAACAGAAAAAUUGAUCAUUCACAUUUUAGAAUGGAAACAAGAGUAGGAAUUGGCAAAGGAGACUGGAAAGAAAUCACGAGAUGACCCUGAGAGAACUGUGCCAGAAAAUCCAAAGAAGGAAAACCGACUACAGAGAAUGAAAUGCUGCGGAGAUAAACCAUAAUGAAGUCUGAAAAUAGUCCAUUAGAUCGGAUAAUUAGAUGAUGGCCAGAAAUGGCAAUUUCAUUGACUUGGUGGAAUCAGUUGCCCCACUCCUGAGGAAUGAGUCAAAGAAGAAAAUAAGGAUAAUCUUCCAGUUACAGAGUGAAUAUGUAACAGAAAUAAAGGGCACAGCUAUAAGGAAUAUGUUGAUGAUACACUAACUGCACUGUCUAGGGACAGAAUGUGGCUACACUUGUUGUGAGCAUCGCAUAAUGUAUAGAGAUGUGGAAUCACUAUGUUGUACACCUGAAACUGAUGUAACAUUGUGUGUCAACUACCCUCAAAAUAAAAAAAGAUGUU
Molecule: long non-coding RNA, 921 nt
Organism: Canis lupus familiaris (dog)
Lineage: Eukaryota; Metazoa; Chordata; Mammalia; Carnivora; Canidae
Exons: 3
Source: RefSeq, a predicted model, not a curated record